This 315-nucleotide ribosomal RNA is filed under the name Triticum aestivum (bread wheat). RNAcentral describes it as "partial small subunit ribosomal RNA". Lineage: Eukaryota; Viridiplantae; Streptophyta; Magnoliopsida; Poales; Poaceae. The record is from RNAcentral.
AUGUUCAUUUUUGUUUCAAUGCAGGGGCACAACAGGAAACAAGAUCUGGUUGCUUCUACGCAUGUUAUUUAUAUUGCUGUUUGUUCAAUUACUAUUUUUGAAAGAGGAAACAACAUGAAUUCCCACUUCCUUCUAAGCAUGUUAUUUCUAUUACUGUUUGUUCAAUUGCUUUUGAUUUUGAAUGGAAUAAGCAAGGUCCAGUUCGCAAAUAUGCCCCAUAGUAUCAUAUAUCUUGUUCAUACAAAUUAUUGCCACAUGCAAGAUUGCAUCCAGUUUUGUGUUGUAUAUAGUUGCCUUGGAUUUCCAUUCUUAUAA